This 253-nucleotide ribosomal RNA is filed under the name uncultured bacterium. RNAcentral describes it as "partial 16S ribosomal RNA". It matches the Rfam family "Bacterial small subunit ribosomal RNA", at positions 524 to 776 of the family's 1533-position model. The record is from RNAcentral.
UACGUAGGGUGCAAGCGUUGUCCGGAAUUAUUGGGCGUAAAGGGCUCGUAGGCGGUCUGUCGCGUCGGGAGUGAAAACUCAGGGCUUAACCCUGAGCCUGCUUCCGAUACGGGCAGACUAGAGGUAUGCAGGGGAGAAUGGAAUUCCUGGUGUAGCGGUGAAAUGCGCAGAUAUCAGGAUGAACACCAGUGGCGAAGGCGGUUCUCUGGGCAUUACCUGACGCUGAGGAGCGAAAGUGUGGGGAGCGAACAGG